GACGAACGCUGGCGGCGUGCUUAACACAUGCAAGUCGAACGGAAAGGCCCUGCUUUUGUGGGGUGCUCGAGUGGCGAACGGGUGAGUAACACGUGAGUAACCUGCCCUUGACUUUGGGAUAACUUCAGGAAACUGGGGCUAAUACCGGAUAGGAGCUCCUGCUGCAUGGUGGGGGUUGGAAAGUUUCGGCGGUUGGGGAUGGACUCGCGGCUUAUCAGCUUGUUGGUGGGGUAGUGGCUUACCAAGGCUUUGACGGGUAGCCGGCCUGAGAGGGUGACCGGCCACAUUGGGACUGAGAUACGGCCCAGACUCCUACGGGAGGCAGCAGUGGGGAAUAUUGCACAAUGGGCGGAAGCCUGAUGCAGCAGCGCCGCGUGCGGGAUGACGGCCUUCGGGUUGUAAACCGCCUUCGCCUGUGACGAAGCGUGAGUGACGGUAAUGGGUAAAGAAGCACCGGCUAACUACGUG
RNAcentral lists this ribosomal RNA (468 nucleotides) under uncultured bacterium. RNAcentral describes it as "partial 16S ribosomal RNA". It matches the Rfam family "Bacterial small subunit ribosomal RNA", at positions 28 to 507 of the family's 1533-position model. The record is from RNAcentral.